CCUACGGGUGGCAGCAGUGAGGAAUAUUGGUCAAUGGACGGGAGUCUGAACCAGCCAAGUAGCGUGAAGGAUGACUGCCCUAUGGAUUGUAAACUUCUUUUAUAAGGGAAUAAAACGAGGCACGCGUGCCUGUUUGCAUGUACUUUAUGAAUAAGGAUCGGCUAACUCCGUGCCAGCAGCCGCGGUAAUACGGAGGAUGCGAGCGUUAUCCGGAUUUAUUGGGGUUAAAGGGUGCGUAGAUGGGUUGUUAAGUCAGUGGUGAAAGUCUGCGGCGCAACCGUCAGACUGCAAUUGAUACUGGCAGUCUUGAGUUCAGGUGAGGUAAGCGGAAUUCGUGGUGUAGCGGUGAAAUGCAUAGAUAUCGCGAAGAACUCCGAUUGCGAAGGCAGCUUACUA
This 396-nucleotide ribosomal RNA is filed under the name uncultured bacterium. RNAcentral describes it as "partial 16S ribosomal RNA". It matches the Rfam family "Bacterial small subunit ribosomal RNA", at positions 338 to 731 of the family's 1533-position model. The record is from RNAcentral.